UAUUUUUUUAAAUCUGUGUGUAUUUUUGUUCAGGUGCUAACAAUGAUGGCCUGACCAUAGAAAAUGAGGCGUAACCACAGUAAGAAGUGACAUCUCCAAUCCAGGUCUCCUCAUUGUUCGUGCCUAUCAGGACGUGACAUGGCGCUGAUGUCAUCAUCAUCAUCAUCAUCAUCAUCGUCGGUUGUUUACGUUAUUGCACUGAGUUUUCCACGACUGACACCACAUGCGUAGCUUAGCGCAUCAGCAAAUGUAGCUACAGUAUGUCUGCCAAACAUUUGCACAUGGAGUAAAUAAAUUAGUGAUGGUGUUAAUGUGGUGUAAAUGACAUUCCUUCAGUAUUUGCUUUUUCUUUCUUUUUUUUUCCAUUUUGUUUUGUUGUGUUGUGGAAGGUCAAAUGAUGCAUGCUCUCAUCUCAGGAUGUCACACCUUGCUGUAGUGAACUGUACAUGACGUUCUCUCCUUUGCUUGAAAGUAUAAUAUUAGUAAUCAUGUUUUUGAAUAAGGGCUCUUCUGACUGGUUAUAGCAUGACCAUGACUCCCGCAGUGGAGGUUCAGCUCACUGGCCACCAUCAAAAAGAAACCUCGGUGUAAUGCCGAUAACGUUGAGUGUUUUUGUUAAGAAAUGUUAUGUUGUGAAUGUAAUGUAAAAAAAAAAAGUCAGUUCCACCCACUUUGUACUCUAUUUUCACCUUCUGAGGAAUUUGUCUAUUCUCGUCCAGUGCUGGAAAUGAACUGUACAUUUAUGUAAAGAACGUAUGCCUGUUUAAAAAAAAAGAAGAAAAAAAAGCUUCAUGGUGAUUGCUGGUGUCAAUUUAUAUUUUUUUAUUCUGUCUGUUGAGACAAACCUGACGUGUGAGGCCAAGUACUGUACUGUUGUGAUGCCUUAUGAGAAUAAAAAGAGCUCAUCAGUU
Long non-coding RNA from Solea senegalensis (Senegalese sole), 911 nucleotides. RefSeq lists it as uncharacterized. NCBI's taxonomy places the organism in Eukaryota, Metazoa, Chordata, Actinopteri, Pleuronectiformes, Soleidae. The record is from RefSeq and is a predicted model, not a curated record. The transcript is spliced from 2 exons.